AACGAACGCUGGCGGCGUAGCUUAACACAUGCAAGUCGAACGCGAAAGGGACUUCGGUCCUGAGUAAAGUGGCGCACGGGUGAGUAACGCGUAGAUAACCUGUCUUCAUGUCUGGAAUAAUACGCCAAAGGGGUACUAAUACCGGAUAUUCUUGCUUUUCAUAAGUUAUGCAAGCAAAGGUGGCCUCUGCAUAUGCUACUGCAUGAAGAGGGGUCUGCGUACCAUUAGCUAGUAGGUGGGGUAACGGCCUACCUAGGCGACGAUGGUUAGCGGGUCUGAGAGGAUGAUCCGCCACACUGGCACUGGAACACGGGCCAGACUCCUACGGGAGGCAGCAGUGAGGAAUAUUGCGCAAUGGGGGAAACCCUGACGCAGCGACGCCGCGUGAGUGAAGGAAGGCCUUCGGGUCGUAAAGCUCUGUCAAGAGGAAAGAAGUGUACAAUGGCUAAUACCUGUUGUAUUUGACGGUACCUCUAAAGGAAGCACCGGCUAACUCCGUGCCAGCCGCUGC
Molecule: ribosomal RNA, 511 nt
Filed under: uncultured bacterium
Lineage: Bacteria
Description: bacterial SSU rRNA
Rfam family: Bacterial small subunit ribosomal RNA
Source: RNAcentral